This 686-nucleotide ribosomal RNA is filed under the name uncultured bacterium. RNAcentral's name for it is "bacterial SSU rRNA". It matches the Rfam family "Bacterial small subunit ribosomal RNA", at positions 32 to 715 of the family's 1533-position model. The record is from RNAcentral.
AACGCUAGCUACAGGCUUAACACAUGCAAGUCGAGGGGUAGCAGGGUAGCAAUACCGCUGACGACCGGCGCACGGGUGAGUAACACGUAUCCAACCUUCCCAUAACUCAGGGAUAGCCUUUCGAAAGAAAGGUUAAUACCGGAUGGUACUUUUUCAAGGCAUCUUGAGAAAGUUAAAGAUUUAUUGGUUAUGGAUGGGGAUGCGUUCCAUUAGAUAGUUGGUGAGGUAACGGCUCACCAAGUCUUCGAUGGAUAGGGGUUCUGAGAGGAAGGUCCCCCACAUUGGUACUGAGACACGGACCAAACUCCUACGGGAGGCAGCAGUGAGGAAUAUUGGUCAAUGGGCGAGAGCCUGAACCAGCCAAGUAGCGUGAAGGAUGAAGGUCCUAUGGAUUGUAAACUUCUUUUAUAGUAGAAUAAAGUGAUCCACGUGUGGAUUUUUGUAUGUAUACUAUGAAUAAGGAUCGGCUAACUCCGUGCCAGCAGCCGCGGUAAUACGGAGGAUCCGAGCGUUAUCCGGAUUUAUUGGGUUUAAAGGGUGCGUAGGCGGAAUAAUAAGUCAGUUGUGAAAGUUUGCGGCUCAACCGUAAAAUUGCAGUUGAUACUGUUAUUCUUGAGUGUACAUAAGGUAGGCGGAAUUCGUGGUGUAGCGGUGAAAUGCUUAGAUAUCACGAAGAACUCCGAUUG